Molecule: unclassified non-coding RNA, 268 nt
Filed under: Hevea brasiliensis (rubber tree)
Lineage: Eukaryota; Viridiplantae; Streptophyta; Magnoliopsida; Malpighiales; Euphorbiaceae
Source: RNAcentral
GGAGGAGAUUGAGAAGAUGGUUCAGGAAGCAGAGAAAUACAAAUCUGAGGAUGAGGAGCACAAGAAGAAGGUUGAAGCCAAGAAUGCUUUGGAGAACUACGCUUACAACAUGAGGAACACCGUGAACGACGAGAAGAUUGGUGCUAAGCUUUCCCCGGCCGACAAGAAGAAGAUUGAUGAUGCCAUCGAACAGUCGAUCCAAUGGCUCGAUGCCAACCAGCUUGCCGAGGCAGACGAGUUUGAGGACAAGAUGAAGGAGUUGGAGAGC